Sorex araneus (European shrew) is the source of this 3460-nucleotide long non-coding RNA. RefSeq lists it as uncharacterized. Lineage: Eukaryota; Metazoa; Chordata; Mammalia; Eulipotyphla; Soricidae. The record is from RefSeq and is a predicted model, not a curated record. The transcript has 3 exons.
UCUGGGAGCCAACUCCUGCUCCUUCUGAAACCCCAGCCCCGCCCCCUGGGACCUCAGGCCCGCCCCUUCCAGGAGCCCUGCCCUGCCCCCUGGGGCCCAGCCCCGCCCUUUCCGGGACCCCGGCCCACGGGCUGGGGGCUGUUUUGGGUCAUCCUUAAUUGUUUUCUCUGUGCGUCCAUGGCCGGAGCUCUUGCUGGACGGGCCCCCUGCGCGGAGAAGGGAGCACCCACGGGAGCCGCCGGUGAAGGCAGCAGGGAGGGAGGCCACGCUGAUCGGACACCAACUGGACACACCUGGCGCCCGGGAGCUGAGCCCGCGGAUUCCCGGGCGGGGGGCGCUGGACACGGAGGGAGGUAACCUCUGAGUUCCAGAGGGGCAGGAAGCCACUGAGGUUCCCACAAGGCGACCCAGGAGGGGCUCACGGUCAGUCCCAGAGCCCGCCCGGACAGCCCCCCCCCCCGCCAGCGUCUGUGACAUGCCCUUGGCGCCCCCGGGAACUGCACUCCCGGCCCGGUGUCCCGUGGGUGAAGCAACUCACAAAGUCGAGUCUGCAGAAGAUCCAAGCGCCCUAGGACAACGGGGAGGGCAUGCACCUGGCACACGGCCGACCCGGGUUCGAUCCCCAGCAGCCCAUAGGGUCCCCGAGCCCCGCCAGGAGCGACCCUGAGCACAGAGCCAGGAGUCCACAGCCCACGUAAGUAUACAUGUGGGCGCGUUUCAUUCGUAACACACUCUAAUACUUGCUCUGGGGGGCCACACGCUGACCCCUGGCUCUGCUCUCAGGGCCUCCUGGAGGGGCUCGGGGGACCCCAAGGGCUGCUGGGGGUGGAGCCAGCGCCCCUGCCCCACCUCAUGGAACCUCACUCUGGCCAGAUAGUCUCUACUCUUCUCUUUAUUCCCCUGCCCUGUUUCCUUGCUGUCACGGUGCCCGGAGGGCACAGAGGGGGUGUGAGCUGCUUCCUGCACCACACUCACACACAUGCUCGUACAGUUAACACACAUGCACUCACACUCACAUGCUCACACAGUCACACAUACAUGCACACUCACACACACAUGCUCAGUCACACGCGCUCACAUGGUCACACACAUACAUUCACACUCACAUGCUUAUAGUCACAUGCAUUCACACAUGCUCAUACAUGCACUCACAUGCUCAUGGUCACACACAAACACACACAUGCUCGUACAGUCAACACACAUUCACACACAUGCUCACACAUACAUCACAGUCACACACAUAUGUAUGCUUAGUCAUACAUUCAUAGUCACACAUACACAUGUGCUCACACAUGUUCAGACACAGCCAUGCACAUUUACAUACAGUCACACACAUGCUCACACACCCACACAGGACAGAGACCACCCUCGCCCCAGCACCCAGCCCUCCCCACACACACGCAGAUAUUUCUUCUUUUCAUCCCCAAUGCCCCCCACGCCCCCCCUCCCCGUCUCUUCAUACCUCGGGCCGGCAUGAGGGUGUCGGGUUCUUGUCAGCUCAGCCAGGUGUGGCGGGACCCACGUGGGCGUCUCGCCUCGUCCCCCGAAGCUUGAGGCAGAGGUGGCAGCUGGGGCCCCGGGGGUGACUCCGGCCAAGGCAGAGGUGGGGGUCUCUGCCGUCACACAUCACGCGUGUCAAGUCAGCGGGUGCCGAGGCGGAAGGGGCUUCCCGAGCCCAGCCGGACCCUGGAGCCAGCGGCCUGGGGUCCCCGCCCGGGCUGGGGGUGCAGCCCUCUCGGCCGAGCCCUGUCGGGGACCCCCACCCACCCCCGGCGCCUUUCCCGGGCCCGGGGGGGCAGAGCUGGAGCCUCCGAACGGCCGCGAGGUGAGUGCUGGCCCAUCUCCAGCCUCCUCAGGCCCCGCAGGAAGACUUAAGUCAGCACCGAGAGCCGAGGGCUCGGGGCCCAGAGGGGCCUCAUGUGAUGCCCGGCACCCAGGGACCCCCGGGCCAGCCCCGAAAGCCCCCAGGUGCCCGUUUCCCCCCCACCACGGCGGCCCUGGGGGAGCAGCAGCCGCAGCCAGUUCCGGCUGUGGGGCCCACCCACCCGCCCUCGGCCUCCUGGGGACCCCCAGCACCAGGCUGCUGGCCGCGGCCCGCGGGCCUGUCGCCUGUGACCACCCCCCGCCCCCCUCCAGGAGCCGCGGGGCCAGACACGGCUCGGAUGUCUCAAGACCGACACGGGCAGGGGCGUGUCAGGGUGCAGACCUGGACGGGAAGGGAGGAAGCCCCAAGGCGUGGCCCCGAGUCUCAGGGGGAGCCCCCUCUCCUUUGCUUAGGGCCUCACCCAGCAGUGCUCAGGGCUGACUCCCAACUCUGUGCUCAGGGCUGACUCCCGGCUCAGUGCUCAUGAAUCACUCCUGGCUCAGUGCUCAGGGCUGACUCCCAGCUCAGUGCUCAGGUGGAGCUCGGACACCCAGUGGGGUGCCUUGGCUUGAACCCAGGUCAGCAUGUGCAAGGCAGGUGCCCUCCCGCUGUGGCCUCCCCCAGGCCCUGUAUCUGCCCCCAGGCUGGGCGCGGACGGGGACGGGCUGUGUAGAAUGCUCGUGCCCGGGCUGGCGGGCGCGGUGCCAAGUGGCGCUGUCCAGGUGACCCGGGUCCACUAGUGACUCUGACAUGACCAGCCGCGACGGGGACAUCACCGGAGCCAGCCUGGACCUGCUCCAUCUUCAUGGGGCUAAAUACAGGCGGGAGAGGGCGGGCCAGGAGCGAGGGGACACGGGACAGUGCCCCGGGGGGCUGAGGGUCCCCCCACCCCAGAGAGGGAGCCGGGACACACCUGGGUCAGCUCGCCCGGCCCGUGUGCGGGUCCCACCUGGAGGGCCGGGAGACGGGGGGGCUCUGGGCUCGGGACCUUCCCGCUUCCCGAGGGGCCCCGGGUGGCACAGGGCAGGGCCGGGAGCCCCUCUCUGCAGCGGCCUCACCGCAGGGAGGACGGGCCAGGGGGCAGUUCCAGGUGAUGACCCCCAAUGUUGGGGACGGGCCUGGGCGAGGAGGGGGCCUAGGCACCCCCUGCCUUAGUUCCUGUAAAUGGGAGUGAGUAUGGAGAAACGUGGCGUGAGGGCGAGUCAUCCCCUGACAGCGACCUGGACAGGCGGCCGAAGGGCCACCAUGCUCUGGCGGCCAGCCUGGAAAGGGGGUCGAAGGGCCACCAUGCUCUGGCAACCUGCCUCGAGAGAAAAGUUGAAGGGCCACCAUGCCCUGGCAGCUGGACUCGAGAGGAGGCUGGAGGGAGGAUUGGCUCGCGUCUGCCAUGGCCAUGCUCAAGGCCACAUCUGCUUUCCCCUUUCCCAUGUUUCUCAAGGCUGAGAGAAGGAACCGAAAAAUAAGUAAGAUUGGCAAAAAUAAAGAUGCUCUCACCACUUAAUAAUGUUUAUGCCACUUAUGUAACCUGCUGAUCAUUGCUAAGCUAAGACUAUAUAAACCCGCUUGGAUUUCAGUAAACUUGCUGUAUGCCGUAUG